UCUUUUCAAUAAAGCGGCGGACUGGUGAGUACGCGUGGGUGACCUGCCUUUACCGCCGGGGAUAUGCCGUUAGAAAUACGCGGGUAAUACCGGAUGUGAUCGCAAGACUUUGGUUAUGCGAGGAAAGAUGCCACGGCAUCGCCUGAACGAUGGGCCCGCGUCCCAUUAGCUAAGUUGGCAAGUGUAACGGACUACACAAGCGAAGAUGGGUAAGCGGCCCUGACGAGGGUGAACAGGGCACACUGGGACUGAGAUACGGCCCGAAGACUCCUACGGGAGGCAAGCAGCUAAGAAUUAUUCCGCAAUGGACGAAAGUCUGACGGAGCGACGCCGCGUGGAUGAGGAAGGCCGCAAAAGUAGUAAAAUCCUUUUAUCUGCAGACAGAAUAAGCAUGGUACGGGAAUGACUUGUGUGAUGACGUUACGGCAAUGAAUAAAGCCCCGGGCUAAUUA
RNAcentral lists this ribosomal RNA (452 nucleotides) under uncultured bacterium. Its description in RNAcentral is "bacterial SSU rRNA". It matches the Rfam family "Bacterial small subunit ribosomal RNA", at positions 82 to 503 of the family's 1533-position model. The record is from RNAcentral.